GACCUGAUAGCUCAGCUGGUAGAGCAUCUCCCUUUUAAGGAGAGGGUCCUGGGUUCGAGCCCCAGUCAGGUCACAA
This 76-nucleotide transfer RNA is filed under the name Flavobacteriaceae bacterium. Its description in RNAcentral is "tRNA-Lys". It matches the Rfam family "tRNA". From Rfam's summary of the family: Transfer RNA (tRNA) molecules are approximately 80 nucleotides in length. Their secondary structure includes four short double-helical elements and three loops (D, anti-codon, and T loops). The record is from RNAcentral. Lineage: Bacteria; Pseudomonadati; Bacteroidota; Flavobacteriia; Flavobacteriales; Flavobacteriaceae.